CUUACCUUUAAUAAUUCAAAGAUCCAAAUGUUAAUUUAUUCAAAAAGUUAAUACUCUCAUAUAUCCACUUAAAAUGAGAGAGUUUUCCAUUAAACUCAACUGAAUUAGAUCAAACUCUAAAAUAAAAUUUCAUUACUUUGCCUCUGUUUAAUGCUUCAGUGGUCAGUCACGAGCUGACUUUAUCCACUGCAAGCAGGACAAGAGCUGGCUGGGCAGAUGUGAAGGCAGCACUUACCAUGCAAUCUCCUCCCCUUUUGGCCUCGACUCAUAAGCAUUCACAGAAGACAGAAAAAUAAGUUGUCUGAAGUCUGGCCCAAAUUUUGCUGAAUCACUUAGAUUCCUGCAGGUUACUUUUUUGAGCAUCUUACAGCAUCUUCGGAUCAGCCAACAAAGAAAUUUCUUUUGGACACAGCAUGUGGUCAAAUGAAGAUUCUGUUCAAAGUGACACGAAAUCAGAAAUAUUGGCUAUAUAACAGUAAAAGAAAGCCUUAAAAUAGCAAAAAGAUGUCAAGCAAAAGAAAACAGCACCUUGCUCACAUCAGGUGAUACACUGGAGAGUUCAAAAACAUCUGAACAAAACAAAAGAGGAAAAGAAGAAGCACACAAUACUUUAAAACUGGCAAAUGUAAUAAACUACAAGAAAU
Molecule: long non-coding RNA, 644 nt
Filed under: Numida meleagris (helmeted guineafowl)
Lineage: Eukaryota; Metazoa; Chordata; Aves; Galliformes; Numididae
Description: lncRNA (ENSNMEG00000018342.1)
Source: RNAcentral